UUUCUGUAGGUGAACCUGCGGAAGGAUCAUUACCGUAAGAUAACUUAGAGUUUUGAGACUGUGUUCCAAAACGGGACGCGUGCUCGACUCUUAUUCUUUAUCCAUACACACCGCUGUGCACUUAUGGGACUGUAAAGUCCCCUUUUUCAUUAUAAAAACCUGUCAUAAUGCAUGUUUAUGUAUACUCUACGGAGUAAUAUACAACUUUCAACAACGGAUCUCUUGGCUUUCGCAUCGAUGAAGAACGCAGCGAACGUGCGAAACGUAAUGUGAAUUGCAGAAUUCAGUGAAUCAUCGAAUCUUUGAACGCAUCUUGCGCUCCUUGGCAUUCCGAGGAGCAUGCCUGUUUGAGUGUCGUGAAGUACUCAAUUUCAAAUAUUUUUUGUUUGAAAAUUGGAUUUGAAUGAUGUUGUGGGGUCACACACAACUCAUUCUAAAUGCAUUAGCGGUCUAAUCUUGAUCACGCACAAUGUGAUAAGAAAACAAAGCAUUGUCAGUGUCGAGUUAAAGUCGCUUCCAACUGUCGAAAGACAAUCAUUUUAUGUCAUUUGACCUCAAAUCAGGUAGGACUACCCGCUGAACUUAAGCA
Molecule: ribosomal RNA, 589 nt
Filed under: Geastrum mirabile
Lineage: Eukaryota; Fungi; Basidiomycota; Agaricomycetes; Geastrales; Geastraceae
Description: eukaryotic LSU rRNA
Rfam family: 5.8S ribosomal RNA (bases 203-357)
Source: RNAcentral